UGAGGAAUAUUGGACAAUGGACGAAAGUCUGAUCCAGCUAUGCCGCGUGCAGGAUGACGGCCCUACGGGUUGUAAACUGCUUUUAUACAGGAAGAAACACCCCGACGUGUCGGGGCUUGACGGUACUGUAAGAAUAAGGAUCGGCUAACUCCGUGCCAGCAGCCGCGGUAAUACGGAGGAUCCAAGCGUUAUCCGGAAUCAUUGGGUUUAAAGGGUCCGCAGGCGGUUUUUUAAGUCAGAGGUGAAAUCCUGCAGCUCAACUGUAGAAUUGCCUUUGAUACUGAAAGACUUGAGUUAUUGUGAAGUGGUUAGAAUGUGUGGUGUAGCGGUGAAAUGCAUAGAUAUCACACAGAAUACCAAUUGCGAAGGCAGAUCACUAACAAUAUACUGACGCUCAGGGACGAAAGCGUGGGUAGCGAACAGGAUUAGAUACCCUGGUAGUCCACGCCGUAAACGAUGGAUACUAGCUGUAUGUCUACUUCAGGUAGAUGUGUGGCCAAGCGAAAGUGAUAAGUAUCCCACCUGGGGAGUACGAUCGCAAGAUUGAAACUCAAAGGAAUUGACGGGGGCCCGCACAAGCGGUGGAGCAUGUGGUUUAAUUCGAUGAUACGCGAGGAACCUUACC
RNAcentral lists this ribosomal RNA (625 nucleotides) under uncultured Bacteroidota bacterium. Its description in RNAcentral is "bacterial SSU rRNA". It matches the Rfam family "Bacterial small subunit ribosomal RNA", at positions 355 to 975 of the family's 1533-position model. The record is from RNAcentral. Lineage: Bacteria; Pseudomonadati; Bacteroidota.